UAAGCGGAGGAAAAGAAACUAACAAGGAUUCCCCUAGUAACGGCGAGUGAAGUGGGAAAAGCUCAACUUUGUAAUCUGGCUGUCUUUGGCAGUCCGAGUUGUAGUCUAGAGAAGUGUUAUCCGCGCAGACCCUUAUAGAUUUCGGUUGGAAUGCCAAGUCAAAGAGGGUGAGAAUCCCGUAUUUGAUAAGGUGGUCUUGUGCAUUGUGAUACAUUUUCAAAGAGUCGAGUUGUUUGGGAAUGCAGCUCAAAGUGGGUGGUAAAUUCCAUCUAAAGCUAAAUAUUGGCGAGAGACCGAUAGCGAACAAGUACCGUGAGGGAAAGAUGAAAAGCACUUUGGAAAGAGAAUGAAAUAGUACAUGAAAUUGCUGAAAGGGAAACGAAUGAAGUUAGACUUGCGCAGUUGGUAUUCAACCUUGGCUUCGGUCUUGGUGCAUUUGCCUUCUAUUGCAGGCCAGCAUCAGUUUACUUUGCUGUAAAAGGGUUUGAGGAAUGUGGCUUCUCCGGGAGUGUUAUAGCCUCUUUCUGGAUGCAGAAUCGUAAACUGAGGAACGCAGCGCGCCAUUAGGCAGGGUCUUUAGACUCCGAGCGCUUAGGAUGCUGGUAGAAUAGCUUUAUACGACCCGUCUUGA
Molecule: ribosomal RNA, 631 nt
Filed under: Kondoa sorbi
Lineage: Eukaryota; Fungi; Basidiomycota; Agaricostilbomycetes; Agaricostilbales; Kondoaceae
Description: eukaryotic LSU rRNA
Rfam family: Eukaryotic large subunit ribosomal RNA
Source: RNAcentral